This is an RNA transcript of Durio zibethinus, 2932 nucleotides long. RefSeq lists it as uncharacterized. NCBI's taxonomy places the organism in Eukaryota, Viridiplantae, Streptophyta, Magnoliopsida, Malvales, Malvaceae. The record is from RefSeq and is a predicted model, not a curated record.
UUGAGGAAUGCUAUGGGCUUGGAACAGCACCCUUAGGUCCAAAUUUGUAAAACUAUGGGCUUAUUAAUCAAAGACCAAAACGACAUCUCAACCAAUUGGACCUAUUUGCAUCCAAAAAUAAUUGGCCCAAUUUGACGUUUUGGUCACAAAAAUGGAGAUUAGCUAAAAUGGCCGCGUCAGUAAAAAUGGAAAAUGCACUCUUUUCAGUUCAGGUCAGCCAUGGAUCUCCUUUGCAAAGCCAACUCCAACAACAGUUCUGACGAUGAACCCGAACCCGCAAACCAUCACCCUUCCUUUCUGCCCUUCAAAACGGCCCAAACUUGAAUGCACAUUUCCCACAAUGAAUCUUCAGAGGAGAGGAGAAACUCCGGUUCCUGGCAGAUACGUAUCCAAGAGGGAGCAAGCACUUCCCGGUUCCGUUUCCCAGGCUGUUGAAUCAAACCCGAAUCACCAGAUCCUCAUUUCACCACUCAGACAGUUGUAGGAAGAAUUUCAGUUUUGGAUCUUCUGAAUGAUGUUCUGGCGUCAAUGCAGCAUAGAUGAAUGGGCUAUAUUCAACUAAGUCAAUUUCCUGAGAAGCUGUCCGUAGCCCUGCAUGACCAUGCAAAAGCUGUUAAUGCUGUUCAUUGGUCACCAACUCAGGCUCAUCGACUUGCUUCUGCUGGGAUGGAUCAAACAAUCUGCGGAUGGAAUGUACGGAGCAGAGAUCAAAAGAAAGCUUGAAUUAAGUGGUCACAACAUGGGUUAUUUGUACUUUCUUGUGGAUGUGACGUUUCAUCAAAGUUGAUUGAUGUUAAAAAGGGACUUGAAACACAGAAUUUUAAAAAGGAUCAGGUUGUUAGAUUUAUAAAAUUCCUAUCUAGACAACUCAAACCUGUUCCUUUUUGGGGGAUUAAAGGGCAAACUCAUAUUGUGGGAUCUUAGAACUGGCAAGGUGGUACAUUAUAUAUUCGAGGUCUGGAUCCAAUUCUUGAUGUUGAAUUCACCGUUGAUGGGAAGCAAUUUUUAUCUUCCAGUGAUGUUUCUGGGGGUAAUGUCAGUGAAAAUUCUAUUACUUUGGGACAUCUCUAGAUGCAUUCUGCUGUCUAAUCAGGUUAGAGAUGCCUUUCAACAUCAUUUAGUCUCCAUUACUGAGAUUUUUAUGGUAAAACUAUUUCCACCUCACAUUGCCUCCUCUUAGUCUCAUUAAUCGUUCUCCUUUCUUUGUUGUUGCCGAAAGUUUAGCAUAUGGCUACCCUCCAACCUAAAAGUAUUACCUUUUGCUAUACUGUUUUUUUAGCAUAGCUUCCUAUUAUGGUUGUUAACAGAUCACUAACCAAAAUGAAUAGAUACUUUAAAAUAUAUUUUAAAGCAGUUUUAUUUUAAAAAGAAGCAGCACAAUGAAGGAUGCAUACUUAUCUAUUACUAUGUUUUCAAGUUAUUGGAUCCUACUGUUUUAGGAAUUGUCAUUUCAGCAUAUAUCUGUAUAAUAUCAACAUUUAUUCCAUUCCCUUUCCUUUAUGCUUCAAACCGCCUUGUUUCCUUUUUUGACCAAUGCUUUAAGGAGAACAGUGAAAGCAUCUGCUGACUCAGUUAAGGGGGGCUAAUAGCCCUUAUAUCUAUGCUUUGCCCUAACCCAAAUAGCACUUCUAGUUUAGAUUUAUAGGUCUUUUAAUAAUUUCUCAGCACAAAUCACAAAAGCCUCGUAACUAUAAUUUGGGUUUGGUUACACCAAGUAAAUCAACUAAAAAGAAAGAAUUCUACUUUAGCAAGAGUUAUCCACUUAUCCUUAAACUAUUGAACGGAGAGCCAGAGUUGCUGCAUAGAAAACCUGUGCACAAACUUUAAGAUAGUGUCUCUACAAACUUUGACAAAUGAGCCAUUGGCUUGUUUGUUGACUUGCCACUUAGCUUUGCUGUUCACGUUGGACGGUUCUAAUAGAGUUGUUUGAAUACUGCCUCUUGAGUUAUACUUAUCAACUUAAGCUAGGUUCAAUUAGUUGCAUGACUUUAGAAUUUGACAUGAGUCCUGUCAUUAAAACACACAUACAUGCAUAAAAUUAUUGCUUUUUGUAUGGAAGAGAAAAAAUGCAUAAUCAAUCAACCAUGUCAAAAUAUUAUACCCGUGUAAGACUGUACGAUUGAUAUUCCAUCGGACUAAAGUCAUGUUCUUCAAUUUCUUGUGUCACUUCUAUUCCCUUUUAAAUAUAAAAGGAGAUGUAAGAUAUGGCUUAGACAGCUAGAUGCUAUUUUCUUGUCUUUGGAAUAUAGGUAAUUAGACUUGUGUAUAGAAUAUUAAUGAAUGCAUAGAAGGUAACAACUUUGCUUAUUCUGGUUUUGUUUCUGGUUUAUGCGGAAGCCUACAUUUGUCCUUGUGUUAGGUACCACCCAUUUGAUCCCUUUUUUGUGGCCCAAUCUGGUGGAAAUUAUAUUGCCAUUUUCUCUUCAAGCUAGACAAGUAUAAAAGGUAUGAAAGCCAUGGAUAGUAUCAGGAUUUGCAGUUAAGUGCAAUUUCAGCGUGGAUGGGAAGAAGCUUGUUUCUGGUUCCUCAGAUGGUUCUAUAUACUUGUAUAACUGUCGGUGGUUGUCAAGAAAAUCAAGGCAUACGAGUAACUGCUUCUUGCUGUUGGCACGGAGAUGUUUCAGUGUUUGAGUGAGACAGCUUAUUUAUCCUUAAUUCUAGGACAAGCAAAAGAAUCUUGAAAAUACAAAUAUGUAUAAACCAACAUCUUACUCUUUGUUCUUAAUGUGUGGAAAAGCACAAGAGAAACAGAAUCAAAAUCAUUGUCAAUCACAGUAUCUCAGUCGUUUCUGUCUAACUUUUGGUGGUUCUUUCCAACAUGGUCUUACGUUUUUUCCUUUUUCUUGUAACCCUUCACCAAGAAAACAAGGCUGGUAGGCUACAGUCAAAUAAUCAAUGCCAACGGUAACGUAAUCUGUUGAUAAAAUAUUGG